AUUCCAGCUCCAAUAGCGUAUAUUAAAGUUGUUGCAGUUAAAAAGCUCGUAGUUGGAGUUCAGGGUGAGCUCAGCCGGUCGGCGUCAUGCGUCAGAACUGGUCGACUCUCCCUUGUUUGUGGAUCCCGCCCGGAGUUAACUCUUCGGGAUGUGGAGUUCACAUCGUUUACCUUGAAAAAAUUAGAGUGUUCAAAGCAGGCGUUUGCUUGAAUAUAUUAGCAUGGAAUAAUGGAAUAGGACCCUGGUUCUAUUUUGUUGGUUUUGAGAACCAGAGUAAUGAUUAAUAGGGAUAGUUGGGGGCAUUCAUAUUUCAUUGUCAGAGGUGAAAUUCUUGGAUUUAUGAAAGAUGAACUUCUGCGAAAGCAUUUGCCAAGGAUGUUUUCAUCG
RNAcentral lists this ribosomal RNA (387 nucleotides) under Telonemia sp. RNAcentral describes it as "partial small subunit ribosomal RNA". It matches the Rfam family "Eukaryotic small subunit ribosomal RNA", at positions 582 to 975 of the family's 1831-position model. Lineage: Eukaryota; Telonemia. The record is from RNAcentral.